This 511-nucleotide ribosomal RNA is filed under the name Candida albicans. Its description in RNAcentral is "eukaryotic LSU rRNA". The stretch from base 142 to 295 matches the Rfam family "5.8S ribosomal RNA". The record is from RNAcentral. Lineage: Eukaryota; Fungi; Ascomycota; Pichiomycetes; Serinales; Debaryomycetaceae.
AUACUGAACUGCUUAUUGCACCACAUGUGUUUUUCUUUGAAACAAACUUGCUUUGGCGGUGGGCCCAGCCUGCCGCCAGAGGUCUAAACUUACAACCAAUUUUUUAUCAACUUGUCACACCAGAUUAUUACUAAUAGUCAAAACUUUCAACAACGGAUCUCUUGGUUCUCGCAUCGAUGAAGAACGCAGCGAAAUGCGAUACGUAAUAUGAAUUGCAGAUAUUCGUGAAUCAUCGAAUCUUUGAACGCACAUUGCGCCCUCUGGUAUUCCGGAGGGCAUGCCUGUUUGAGCGUCGUUUCUCCCUCAAACCGCUGGGUUUGGUGUUGAGCAAUACGACUUGGGUUUGCUUGAAAGACGGUAGUGGUAAGGCGGGAUCGCUUUGACAAUGGCUUAGGUCUAACCAAAAACAUUGCUUGCGGCGGUAACGUCCACCACGUAUAUCUUCAAACUUUGACCUCAAAUCAGGUAGGACUACCCGCUGAACUUAAGCAUAUCAAAAGGGGGGGAGGAA